AUGGAUCACACCGGGGAGCACCUCGACCCCGCAGCCUCGGCGUCCGCGUCCGCGCCCGCAUCCGUCGCCGAUGUCAACGCGUGGCUGGCUUCCCUGGCAGCGGAGGGCGGCGGAGUGGGAGGGCGCGGCGGUGGGGCGGUGGUCUCCGAGCUAACGCUGGGGCCCGACCCCACGCCGCGCGGGGUAUCCUAUCUCCGCGCGCUCGCGGCGGCGUCGCAGGCGCGGUCCCACGCAGCCGGGAUCGCUGCUUCGGGGCUGCGCGCGCAGGCCGCGGAGUAUCAGGCGGAGGCAGCGCGCUUGCGGGAAGCGCUGGAGCGGGCCGGCCUUGCGCGGGACGCGCUCCCUGCGCCUGCUGCGUCGGCCGCGCGCGCCGUCGCCGCUGUCGCGAACCUCCUGGCCAUCCGCGACACCGAGAUGAGCAGCUUUGUGGUGGCCAGUGCAGAUUUAUGGCUGAGGAGAGCAGAGGUGGAGGAGAAGAGGGACAAAGUGCAUAAAGAGUCAAAGGCACUUCUUGAUUACACAAGGAAGGCCAUCACCAAGCUUACUGAGCUCAAGAGGAUGCUGGAGAAAUUUAAAAAUGAUGUGGAGAAGCAACAAGUGGAGCAAAUGGCAGACUGGCAGACAAAAUUGGUCAUGAUGGACUCGAAGGAGCGGCAAUAUAUCCUCCAAGUCUCAAAUUACAAGGCAAUGCUCAACAGAGUUGGAUACACGCCAGAAAUUAAUCAUUGUGUGUUGAUGGAAAUGGCGGAGCAUAAGAAGGAUCUUGAGAGGAAAACUAAACCCAUUGCCGACACAUUGCGUAGCUACCAGGAUUUGCCUCCAGAUAAAGCUCUCGCUGCGUUAGCUAUAGAGGACAAAAAGAGGCAGUAUGCAGCUGCAGAGAAGUACCUUGAAGAUGUGUUGCAAUCUGCUUUAACAACACCUGGUCUAUGA
This 933-nucleotide ribosomal RNA is filed under the name Triticum aestivum (bread wheat). Its description in RNAcentral is "partial small subunit ribosomal RNA". Lineage: Eukaryota; Viridiplantae; Streptophyta; Magnoliopsida; Poales; Poaceae. The record is from RNAcentral.